CCCCGCUGAAGUGAGGCAAAUCAUAAAGGGAGGAAAAGAAAACUACAAGGGUUCCCCCUAGUAACUGCGAGUGAACGGGAAAAGCUCAAAUUUGAAAUCUGGCGUCCCUUGCCCGUCCGAGUUGUAAUCUAGAGAAGUGUGACCUGUGCUGGACCGUGUACAAGUCUCAUGGAAUGGAGCAUCAUAGAGGGUGAGAAUCCCGUCUCUGACAUGGACUACCUGCACGUUGUGGUGCGCUCUCAAAGAGUCGAGUUGUUUGGGAAUGCAGCUCAAAAUGGGUGGUAAAUUCCAUCUAAAGCUAAGUAUUGGCGAGAGACCGAUAGCGAACAAGUACCGUGAGGGAAAGAUGAAAAGAACUUUGGAAAGAGAGUUAAACAGUACGUGAAAUUGCUGAAAGGGAAACGCUUGAAGUCAGUCGCGUCAUCCAGGGAUCAACCUUGCUUCUGCUUGGUGCACUUUCUGGUUUGAUGGGUCAGCAUCAAUUUUGACCAUUGGAAAAAGGCUAAGGGAAUGUGGCAUCUUCGGAUGUGUUAUAGCCUCUGGUCGCAUACAUCGGUUGGGAUUGAGGAACUCAGCACGCCGCAAGGCCGGGUUUUUACCACGUACGUGCUUAGGAUGCUGGCAUAAUGGCUUUAAUCGACCCGUCUUGAAACACGG
Molecule: ribosomal RNA, 657 nt
Filed under: uncultured fungus
Lineage: Eukaryota; Fungi
Description: eukaryotic LSU rRNA
Rfam family: Eukaryotic large subunit ribosomal RNA
Source: RNAcentral